GCCCUGCACUUCGGGAUAAGCGUUGGGAAACUGGGUCUAAUACCGGAUAGGAGCCAUCUUUAGUGUGGUGGUUGGAAAGUUUUUUCGGUGUAGGAUGAGCUCGCGGCCUAUCAGCUUGUUGGUGGGGUAAUGGCCUACCAAGGCGGCGACGGGUAGCCGGCCUGAGAGGGUGUACGGCCACAUUGGGACUGAGAUACGGCCCAG
RNAcentral lists this ribosomal RNA (204 nucleotides) under uncultured Actinomycetales bacterium. RNAcentral describes it as "partial 16S ribosomal RNA". It matches the Rfam family "Bacterial small subunit ribosomal RNA", at positions 128 to 334 of the family's 1533-position model. Lineage: Bacteria; Bacillati; Actinomycetota; Actinomycetes; Actinomycetales. The record is from RNAcentral.